Long non-coding RNA from Mus musculus (house mouse), 755 nucleotides. RefSeq annotates it as predicted gene 10752. The transcript has a single exon. Lineage: Eukaryota; Metazoa; Chordata; Mammalia; Rodentia; Muridae. The record is from RefSeq and is marked validated.
GGGCGAGCCUGGGCCUGUUUCCGCGUCCGCACGAACCGGCUCAGCAUCCCGGGAAUCCUGCGGUGGGAAGGAGCUGAUCUUUGCGAUCUGACCCCACUCUGAUGGAAUAGAAUACAGGACAUGAUCGCCCGGCCCGAGGAAUGGUCCCAAAGCGGAUAGCCAUCACACCAGGGGUCAUCACACGCAAAGUCCGGCCAAGGUGCCCUUGAGUCUCUUUCUCUGGGCGCACAAAUCCGGGCUCAUGAACUUUACAGUUCGUCCACACGGCCAGGUCCUCGAGUCAUCGUCCAGGUCUCAGCUUAAACCGGAAAGGCUUCCCUGACCACCCAGACCUUCCCACAUCCUUCCAUCCCUCUUACUCACUUCCUCACCGAGAUAUUUCCUAACAAUGGUGCGCCUUCUUUAUCGCUGCUUGCCACACUCGGUGGAAUUCCGAUUCGGUUGUAGGUUUAAGAGCAAGGAUUGCAGAAGACUUAACUUCUCUCCGUUUCCAGCCCUAAAAGCCCAGGCUAAGAAUAAAUGCGGUCCCAUCAUCAGUCAUCACUCCUGGUUCCCCAGGAUUUCUGUCUAUGCUGAGUCCACUUUGAUGGGUCUGGUUUAUUGGACGAUUGCUUAUUUUUUCUUCCUGUGUUUCCAUUUUAUUUCAUGAAAUACACUUUCCAAGAAAGCAACCUGGUAUUUCUGAAAUUUUGUAGUUUGGUGUCACUUAAAAUAAACUUUCAUCUCAUCAGACUAAUUUUACACUUCAACUUAAA